UUGCCAGCAGGCGCGGUAAUACGUAGGUGGCGAGCGUUGUCCGGAUUUACUGGGCGUAAAGGGUGCGUAGGCGGAUGUUUAAGUGGGAUGUGAAAUCCCCGGGCUUAACCUGGGGGCUGCAUUCCAAACUGGAUAUCUAGAGUGCAGGAGAGGAAAGCGGAAUUCCUAGUGUAGCGGUGAAAUGCGUAGAGAUUAGGAAGAACACCAGUGGCGAAGGCGGCUUUCUGGACUGUAACUGACGCUGAGGCACGAAAGCGUGGGUAGCAAACAGGAUUAGAUACCCUGGUAGUCCACGCCGUAAACGAUGGAUACUAGGUGUAGGGGGUAUCAACUCCCCCUGUGCCGCAGUUAACACAAUAAGUAUCCCGCCUGGGGAGUACGGUCGCAAGAUUAAAACUCAAAGGAAUUGACGGGGGCCCGCACAAGCAGCGGAGCAUGUGGUUUAAUUCGAAGCAACGCGAAGAACCUUACCUGGACUUGACAUCCCUUGCAUAGCCUAGAGAUAGGUGAAGCCCUUCGGGGCAAGGAGACAGGUGGUGCAUGGUUGUCGUCAGCUCGUGUCGUGAGAUGUUAGGUUAAGUCCUGCAACGAGCGCAACCCUUGUUAUUAGUUGCUACCAUUAAGUUGAGCACUCUAAUGAGACUGCCUGGGUAACCAGGAGGAAGGUGGGGAUGACGUCAAAUCAUCAUGCCCCUUAUGUCCAGGGCUACACACGUGCUACAAUGGUAGGUACAAUAAGACGCAAGACCGUGAGGUGGAGCAAAACUUAUAAAACCUAUCUCAGUUCGGAUUGUAGGCUGCAACUCGCCUACAUGAAGCUGGAGUUGCUAGUAAUCGCGAAUCAGAAUGUCGCGGUGAAUACGUUCCCGGGCCUUGUACACACCGCCCGUCACACCAUGAGAGCUGGUAACACCCGAAGUCCGUGAGGUAACCGUAAGGAGCCAGCGGCCGAA
Molecule: ribosomal RNA, 953 nt
Filed under: Clostridium sporogenes
Lineage: Bacteria; Bacillati; Bacillota; Clostridia; Eubacteriales; Clostridiaceae
Description: bacterial SSU rRNA
Rfam family: Bacterial small subunit ribosomal RNA
Source: RNAcentral